GGGCUCACACAAGCGGUGGAGGAUGUGGCUUAAUUCGAGGCUACGCGAAGAACCUUAUCCUAGAUUUGACAUGCUUGAGAGUCUCUAUGAAAGUAGAGAGUGCCCUUCGGGGAGCUCUUGCACAGGUGCUGCAUGGCUGUCGUCAGCUCGUGUCGUGAGAUGUCGGGUUAAGUCCCUUAACGAGCGAAACCCUUAUCUCUAGUUGCCAGCGGGUAAUGCCGGGGACUCUAGAGAGACUGCCGGUGUCAAACCGGAGGAAGGUGGGGAUGACGUCAAGUCCUCAUGGCCUUUAUGUCUAGGGCUGCACACGUCCUACAAUGGUACGGACAAACGGACGCAAUACCGCGAGGUGGAGGAAAUCUGCAAAACUGGGCCCAGUUCGGAUUGGAGGCUGCAACUCGCCUCCAUGAAGUUGGAAUCGCUAGUAA
This 428-nucleotide ribosomal RNA is filed under the name uncultured bacterium. Its description in RNAcentral is "bacterial SSU rRNA". It matches the Rfam family "Bacterial small subunit ribosomal RNA", at positions 917 to 1341 of the family's 1533-position model. The record is from RNAcentral.